RNAcentral lists this ribosomal RNA (843 nucleotides) under Triticum aestivum (bread wheat). RNAcentral's name for it is "partial small subunit ribosomal RNA". Lineage: Eukaryota; Viridiplantae; Streptophyta; Magnoliopsida; Poales; Poaceae. The record is from RNAcentral.
AUGGUAUGGUUCUGUGGAUGCUUUUGUGCCACGGCGCCAUGGUGGAUGCCCUUUUGCGCUGCUGGGUGGCACGACCCAUUAAAUCGCUAUGGAAGCACGUAUUUGUGGAGUGGUCUGCAUGCCGGCGUCGGGGAGGAUGACCUUGCAUGCCUAUUUCUCUGGAUUUGGGUGCUAGGUGUUCAGUUUAAGGGGCCAUGGUGCUUGGUGCUCAGUUUGCGCGUGUUUUGGAUAGAUUCUGAUGUCGAGGGGAACAUGUCGUUUUUUUGCUUUUUUGUCUGUGUGAUUGGUUAUGUUAUUUUUUUGGCAUGUCGCCGUGCUAUUUCCCUUGCUGACGCAAGAUGGACGAGGUUGUUCCAGUUUGUGGUCAUUGAAGUAGUGGAAAUCAUGCAAGGGGUGUUUUUUGGGCUAUCUAGAUAUAAGCUAAGUCCACAUGUGGUUGAUUGCUUGGAUGUGGAGUUUAAUUUGGGUAACGGCGUGGGGAAAUUACAUGUUCAGAAGCGGCCAUCAAGUUCCUGUGCAUGGGAUCAUUGGAGCACCUUACAAGCUAUUGUGAUGUAUUGGUGUUCUUGUGUUACUUUGGAUCUAGCAAGCAUUCUUAUUACCAGGGGUACUAACCUAGUCGGCCUGUAUUCCUCCGGGCUGGGUCAGUGGGCCCUCAUUCUUCUCAAGAUGGACUCCGGAAGCCGCACGAUGGAGAGGCUCUCGGGUCAACCAACCGAGCUCGCCGUGACCGUGCACGCGGGCCAGUCGAGGGGGAGCACGAGCACCGGCUGUCGCGUGGCCGUCGACGUGGUCCAGACCGAGGUCAUAGCACACGGCCACCUCAGCCAGCACGGGCUUUAG